GUUCCAAAAGCUGGAUGAGCGUUCUGAUGAAGGAUUUACGGACCGGCCGGACAGUUUAUGGGGACUCACGUGACGCUCAGAAAAAAGUUGUCAUGACCUCAACACAGCCAGUUCCUCCCUGUCAGCCCCCAGAGGAAGAUGAAGAGGAGGAGACGUUAAAGUUUGGCGGUGGCACCACGUCCUCAGACAUCUCUUCUCCUUACUCUUCUGUCAAGACAGACAGGUCUGAAGAUGCAGAAUUGGAGAAUCUUUCUGCCAUAAGGCAGGUGAGCAGGACUGCAGCAGCCAGCUCAGAUGUGGAGGUCAGGAGGUCACCAGAGGGGAGAUGGACUUGUGAAGCGGGAGCAGCUGAGGAGUCUGGGAGUUUCUGGAAAACGGGCAGUGUUUAUGAAACCCAGACGUGCCACAAAGCCCAGGAGUGGCUGAGUGUGAUGUCGGAGCUCAGUCAACGCCUCAGCAAAGGGAAGUCCUCUCCGGAUCCCAGAGGUGCUGUGGGAGCCGAUGAAGACGAUGAGGAGGGAUCUUCGUCGCUGAGGCUCCAGGCCCAACACUCCCCUGCUGUGGAUGAAACAGCCUGUGACGGCUCAGUCACCUGUGAGGCAGAACGCAGCUGCAGACACCCACACAUCCUUUGUGGAGGAGCGCAGACUCUGGCUCCUGCUGAUGAUGUGGAGAACAUGUACGAGGAGGUCCAAAUACCUGAGCGGCACAAGUCCAUCAGCUGGAGAUGUGAAGAUCUUUGUGACUCUGGCACGUCCGCUCCACCCGGCAGCAAGAAGGUAAAGUCUCUUUUCUGA
This 797-nucleotide long non-coding RNA is filed under the name Oryzias sinensis (Chinese medaka). RNAcentral describes it as "lncRNA (ENSOSIG00000000190.1)". The record is from RNAcentral. Lineage: Eukaryota; Metazoa; Chordata; Actinopteri; Beloniformes; Adrianichthyidae.